UGAGGAAUAUUGCGCAAUAGGGGAAACCCUGACGCAGCAACGCCGCGUGAGUGAAGAAGGCCCUCGGGUCGUAAAGCUCUGUCAAGUGGGAAAAAAGCUUGCUGGUGAACAGCCAGCAAGACUGAUGGUACCAUUGAAGGAAGCACCGGCUAACUCCGUGCCAGCAGCCGCGGUAAUACGGAGGGUGCAAGCGUUGUUCGGAAUUACUGGGCGUAAAGGGCGUGUAGGCGGUGUGGUAAGUCAGAUGUGAAAGCCCUGGGCUUAACCCAGGAAGUGCAUUUGAAACUGCCAUGCUUGAGUAUGGGAGAGGAGAGUGGAAUUCCCAGUGUAGAGGUGAAAUUCGUAGAUAUUGGGAGGAACACCCGUGGCGAAGGCGACUCUCUGGACCAAUACUGACGCUGAGGCGCGAAAGCGUGGGGAGCAAACAGGAUUAGAUACCCUGGUAGUCCACGCUGCAAACGAUGAGCACUAGGUGUAGCGGGUAUUGACCCCUGCUGUGCCGUAGCUAACGCAUUAAGUGCUCCGCCUGGGGAGUACGGCCGCAAGGCUA
Molecule: ribosomal RNA, 550 nt
Filed under: uncultured bacterium
Lineage: Bacteria
Description: bacterial SSU rRNA
Rfam family: Bacterial small subunit ribosomal RNA
Source: RNAcentral